CAAUCAAGCAACAAAACGGCCAUUAUUUACACCUAUGACAUGAUGGCAAACUUGGCCUUCCUGAGAGGAGAGCUGGAGAAGGCUGAAAAGCUUUUCAAAGCCACCAUGAGCUACAUGCUCGCCGGGGACGUAAAGCAAG
Molecule: non-coding RNA, 139 nt
Organism: Notechis scutatus (mainland tiger snake)
Lineage: Eukaryota; Metazoa; Chordata; Lepidosauria; Squamata; Elapidae
Source: RefSeq, a predicted model, not a curated record